This 18143-nucleotide long non-coding RNA is filed under the name Elaeis guineensis (African oil palm). Its description in RNAcentral is "long non-coding RNA (EGUI_LNC006916)". Lineage: Eukaryota; Viridiplantae; Streptophyta; Magnoliopsida; Arecales; Arecaceae. The record is from RNAcentral.
CAUAGGUGUUUACGUAUAGUUGCGUGUCACAUAAUAAGUGGCAAUAUCAAAUAUCUCCUGGGUGUUGUUUGUCCUAUCACGAGUAUUGUUUUCCAGCCAUCACAAGGAUAGAAAAAGCCUGCCUUAUUGAUGCGAUUUUUGGUUUCUAGGUGUUCUUAGUGGUAUAGGUCACAACCAAUAGUGUGGAUCUCUGGUUUGGAGAGUCCAUUAUUGGUUUUGCAUCAUUGAUUUAUUGAUUUAACAUUUAGUGCAUGCAUGCAUGUAGUUGAGGUCAAGAAGAAACAGAAAUGGUUUGCACAGACCAAAGUAUAUGAAGGGCAGUUUAGAAAUCAAAGAAAGCAGAGUCGAAAUAAGGGGGUUGGUGUUACACCUCCCAGCUCUUUCCUUAUAUAUAGAGAAGUUCUGAAGGAGUUCAAAAGACUGCCUAACCAUUGCAUAGGUGUGUUUGUAUAGUUGGGUAUCACAUAAUAAAGUGGCAAUAUCAAAUAUCUCCUAAAUGUUUUUAUCUCUAUCUCGAGUACUGUCUUGCAGCCAUCACAAGGAUAGAAAAAGCCUUCCAACCAAUGUGUUUUGGAGAUAAUCCUGUACUUCUUUUUCUCUGAAAUUUUGAGAGCACUGCUAGAUGAAGUUGUGUUCUGGGACACUGGCACAUGCUGUUUAGAGUCUCAUAAUAUGCAAUAAUUCUUGGCAAUAAUCUAAUAAAACUUGCUCCCUUUUAUUAACAUGUUUGCUUCCCUCUUGGCAGUCCAAUUCGCUCACUUAUUGAGUCAGGAAUCAAUGCAAAUAAAAGAUCGGAUGUGAGGCUUUAUUAUGGAGCGAGAAACCUUCAGAGAAUGGCUUAUCAGGUGUGGAAGAUAGAAUUCAUAUACAAUACAAUUUAUUGUAUUACAGUUCUGUUUGCUGUAUUGGUCUGAUCAAUCAAACAGAAAAGCUUGUAACUUUUAUAGUGCUCUUCUACAUCUUUAGGAUAGGUUCAAGGUUUGGGAGUCUAGUGGUGUUAAAAUUGUACCUGUUUUGUCACAACCAGAUGAUAGAUGGAAAGGUGAACAAGGCUAUGUACAGGUGAUGCUUUAUUUUUUUUUUUAAAUGUUACAAUUUGUUAGAAAAUUGAAUACUUCAAUUAUUUUUAGCUUCCUAAUUUUUCUGAGCUUCUUCUAGGCUGCAUUUUCUAGAGCCAAACAAGUUCUAAAUCCUUCAUCGACUGGGGCAGUGCUCUGUGGACACAAACAAAUGAUUAAGGUAUGACAUAUUUCUGUGAUGCUAGCAAUUAUGCUGGUUUAUAUUCCCUGAGUAGCUGCAGCAAUUUCGUAUUCUGCAGCGAUCUUCCUGGCAGAAGAUGUUGAUUAAGGGGCCAUUUGGGUGCCCAUAUAAUUUUUACUAUGAAUAUUUCCAUCUCUUGAUAAGGCUGUGAAGAACAUAGCCAAGCGGAGAGUCCUUUUUUUUCUCUGAUCUAGGAAAUCCUGAGCUCUUAAAUUCCAUAAUGUAGUAAUAUUGAAAAACACCUUCUGAGGGGAGUCUAUUGUCCUAAAAGAUUGAGAUCAUAGGUGAUCAAAGAAAUCAUAACCAGAAAUCGUUCUUUGUUUCUCUCGCAUUUUUGAGAUGGUGACAACUAGAAACCAUCACUUCUCUGGUGACUAAUUAUCCAUGCAUCCAAACAGGUCCUAAGAGCCUUUAUUAAUGGUCCCUUUUACUGAUUUUUGACUUCAUAUCUGAGCAACAACACUCUGGAAUUCUUUUCCUCUGUGAUUUUUAGUGUGUGUUAUUUGCAUCCGGUAUGCUAUAAUUGGGCUCUCUCUCUCUCUCNNNNNNNNNNNNNNNNNNNNNNNNNNNNNNNNNNNNNNNNNNNNNNNNNNNNNNNNNNNNNNNNNNNNNNNNNNNNNNNNNNNNNNNNNNNNNNNNNNNNNNNNNNNNNNNNNNNNNNNNNNNNNNNNNNNNNNNNNNNNNNNNNNNNNNNNNNNNNNNNNNNNNNNNNNNNNNNNNNNNNNNNNNNNNNNNNNNNNNNNNNNNNNNNNNNNNNNNNNNNNNNNNNNNNNNNNNNNNNNNNNNNNNNNNNNNNNNNNNNNNNNNNNNNNNNNNNNNNNNNNNNNNNNNNNNNNNNNNNNNNNNNNNNNNNNNNNNNNNNNNNNNNNNNNNNNNNNNNNNNNNNNNNNNNNNNNNNNNNNNNNNNNNNNNNNNNNNNNNNNNNNNNNNNNNNNNNNNNNNNNNNNNNNNNNNNNNNNNNNNNNNNNNNNNNNNNNNNNNNNNNNNNNNNNNNNNNNNNNNNNNNNNNNNNNNNNNNNNNNNNNNNNNNNNNNNNNNNNNNNNNNNNNNNNNNNNNNNNNNNNNNNNNNNNNNNNNNNNNNNNNNNNNNNNNNNNNNNNNNNNNNNNNNNNNNNNNNNNNNNNNNNGCAAGGUAAUAGCCACCUCAAUCUUCACUUAAGUCCCUCUCUGAAACACCUCGGUUCAUUCGUGAAGCUUUUUCAGAACACGGUCCAUGGCAAAUAGCAAAACCUUCUUAACAUGUUAUAAGCAUGGUGUGAGAUCAGCAUCACCAUGGGAUAUUCCCAUCAGAUGUGCCUAACUUCCUAUACCCAAAACCCACACUAAGUGCAUGACUGUUCCACAGUUAUCUGUGGACAUUUAAACGUGUUCUUGGUGUAUUGUUGGUGUUUCUGACCUGAACCUUCUCAUAUAUGGAUUCCAAUACCCUUUGAUUAGAGUUAGGUAAAUUUUCUUCCAUUAUCGCCAUAAGUCCAUCCAAGUGCUAAAACCUGGAGCAGACAGAAGAAUUAGUGCUUUCGGGACCAGAAGAGAUUAACCAGAGUUGAAUCUCUUCUUCCCAAUGCUCAUAAUAGUGCAUCAUUCCGCUUCACAAUCAUCUGUGCGCAUUUCAACAUUCACCUGGGGCAGUUGCUUGCUAACUCUGACCUGAACCUUCUCAUCUGAUUAUCUUAUUCGGCUUGCAACUUUUAAUGCUAUGCUUCUCCGCAAAAAACUUUUAAUGCUAUGCUGCUUGAUGGAUCAUGGUGAAAGGAGGAUAGGCACUAGGAUUACAGCAAUAUCGGGCUUUAGUUUUUCGAAUUUUGUUCUAAGUAAAAAUUUAUGAAUAUACUUGGAAUGAGCUUUGUGGUUACCGGGUUUUGUUAUCUCAUGGAUCGUAAAUAGUUCUUUGCCCAAAGGUUAGUGAAAGAUCGAUAGGGAAGUGAGACCAAGCAAGAGAAAGGAGCUUGAGCACACAUUUAAUUGUUGAAGUCAGCAUGUUGGUCCAAGAUGGUUAAGGUACUUGGAUUAGACACCAGAAAACAAAAUCAGGAUAUCAGGAAAAACAUCAUAAAUAAGGCACCGUACUUCAGAACAAAACAAGUAUGUUUUGUAUAAAAAGUUUUGCAGUUGAAUUUCAAAAGGAAAAUUAAAUUAAGAAGAAAUAUACAACAUUACAGAAUUAGCUUUGAGGUUGCAGAUUUAUCUGAUAAAAGUCAGUACUGGCAGCAUAGUACUCCAUGAAUGCUGAAUGCAUAUGUAGGUGAUAUUACUUCAUGUUGAAUUAACAAGUUCAGCAACAUUCUAGGUUUGUAUGCGAUGUUGGAUCUUGUGACUUUUUACACAGAAAUCAAGCUCAAAUUAUAGAAGUCAUGAUGGUAUUUAUGUAGUGGCUUGUUUUUUUUUUUUUUUUUUGGGGGGGGUUGAGAUUCUUACAGCUAUCAUGGUAAAACCACUCGAGAUCACUAGUGCUCUCAUGAAAUAUCCUUAUUUAUAUGUUAUAUGUUGUAUUUGUAGACAAAUUUAGAUACAUCUGCUUUUUUUUUUUGGAUACUCUAUUUUAGACUUUGUAAUAAUAGGCAUUAUUUUUGGUAAAUAAUAGUAGUCUGGCUUAAUUUAGAUAAUGUAGAACUGAUGUGAACUAAUGUCUAUGAUCACGUGGCAGGAUGUUACAACUGUGCUUGUGGCUGAUGGUGUGCCGAAAGAUAAAAUCCUGAAGAAUUUCUAAUGGUGGACAAGGACUCCUGUUUUGUUGUAACAUUUUUGACAAAAAAACCAUCAGGUAUUCUUUAACCACCAAACUACAAUCAUUUGAUUGAACUUGGAUAGAUUAGGAGCUAAUAAUUUAUCAAAUUUUGAUAUUUUUCGGAUAUUGUAACAUAUAGUAUUUGAAAUGUCUAGUGAUUUAAUAUCACUUGAGGACCAGGGAUCUGCACAUGCAAAUCUUAACUUUUUCAUAUAUAAAUGGUGGUCAACAAUAAACUACUUGUUUGAAGAUUCAUGACUGCCGCUGUUUUUAAGCAUGAUAAAGCCAAUGACAUUUUUGGCUAUCCUGCCUAUUUGUGUUAUUAUAGUCUACAGAUGAAUAAAUUAUUAUUAUUCUUAAAUUUACCCCAUGAGAAGUUGGAAAUUGCCUUGAAGUUGGCCUGCUUUACAUCUUUGGUUGAAUUUUUGAACCUGAGCUUGAUGAAGAAUAUAUGAAAUAAAGGAGGUAAUGACAGCUAUCAAACAUUCUGAUCAGUGUUCUAGGACUCCAGAUGUGUGAGAUGAUCUAAUUGACCAAGGGAUAUAGAAUGACCUUGGUACAGGCAUCUAACAUAUGGUUGGAGCAUGCUUUCCAGUAUUUGUAGCUGGGAGUUCUUAGGAUGCCCAUUUGAUCACUGAAUACCGUUUGAUCACUCCUGAACUCCAAACGCAAAAACACAAGGGUUAUAAUUCACAAAAGGGUAAAGAAAAGGAGAUCAUUAGAAAAACAUCAUGAUUUAAAUCUGAUAAAAUCUGGGUGCGCUCUAAAUCCUGUCAUUCAGAUGCUCAGAGGUCUCGACAAAAAGUUGAAUAUGUGAGUUCUGGUUAGCAAAUGAACUUUUUCCCUAUCAUUUUGAAGAAAAUGCAUAUCAUUUUCCGGCAGCAUGAUGCAUGAAAUGCUUAUUCACGUCUAACUCGUGACAUUUGUUGGUACCUAGUUCACGUGGACCUUCCCUACCUGAUGGGAGUAUUCGUCACGACCAUUCUUUUCAGGCCUUCCAAUCAAAAUGCAGCAUGAGCCCAGCAUUACACGAACAAUGUUUGAACAAGGACCGGUUUUACCAGUCGCCCUGCUUGUUUCUGUAAUAACAAUAGUUGACACAGUGAUGCAUUAUUCGUCUAAUUAGAGGCUCUAAUUAAAAUCCCUUUCUUUACAUGUCUAAGAGCGCUAUAGCUAACAAAAAAACCCGAAGUCACCGAAUCGGUAUCAGAUUAAGAUCCGACAAAAUCAAAAGAUCCAGCCAUCAAGGCCACCAAAAAAUUGCUUGCAAAAACCCCUUCUGAUGCAUAAACUGCUAAAAACCUUUCUAAGAACGAUGAAACACAACCUUUUUCUCAUCCUAACGUCGUAAGGAUCCACAGAACAACAUUUCAUCAAAGAGAUCACCCUAUGUCAGAAUCUUACAUUAAAAUAUUAGAAAUUCCAAGACACGGUUGAGGCAUAAGCCAGGUGCCCUGCAAAACUGGAAAUCAAGUUAACUACCACUAAAGUUCAAUAUAAGCCAAUAAGAGAAGAUUACAUACGCAACUUACGCAACUUUAAAAAUGAGAAGUUCCGCUUAAAUACAGCUGCAACUGUCGAUUAGUUCUAACCGUAUCAGCCUAGAAUAACCAAAUUAAACAUUUGAGACAACAUAAUUUGAAUGGAGUCAUCCAAGGCUAUCCAAGUUUCGUUAGAAGCAACAAUAAAAGUUCCGGACAUGCAGCACCAACUAAAACAGACACCAAAAACAAUCAAACAAGUUUACUCAUGCACUUGUGUUCUGCGAACACGCCCAAAUCACCAACAUUCUAAAUCAAGUCUCGUCAUCCCUGCCCACCUUGAACUAGUAGGUACUCCAAGCCUUCACGUCAUGCAUCUAAUCAUUUCCAAGCAAAAAGAAUGAUGGACGGUCGGUACUAAAAUCAAUUUCAACUGUUAUCACCUUCAUCAGGAGAUUGCUUUCUUUCAUGCUCUCCCUGUUUACCAUUUGAAUCCACCAAAUUACGAUGAUGAUCAUGAUGGCGAUGAUUGUGAUGGCGAGGGUGGUGGUGGUGCUCGUGCUUGUGAUGAGGCUUCUUGGUAUCUCUUUGCUUCCCAACCUCCUCCCAGUCAUCAUCUGAUGACUUCCCCACAGAGUGGCUCCUUCUAUUAUGCCUGUGAUCAUCAGAAUCUGACACAGAAUCAUCAGUACUUGAUAUAUGAUGGUGAUUCCGCUUCAAGUGAGUCUUCCUCUGUUCAGAGUCUGAUGCUGAGUCCUCAUCAUUUGAUCUGUGGUGGCGCUUAUGGUGCCUAGAGUGGCCCUUUCGUACUCCUCUGACUUCAUCUUCACUACUUGAUCCUGAGCUGCUGGACUCUGUUCUUGAAGAAUGAUGUCCAUGCCUCCUCUUCUUGGAGCGUCUCUUCCUCCGAUGAUCUUCCUCAGACCCGCUAUAGUAUCCAUCACUGCUGCUCUCAUCACUUGAGCUUGUGUUCCUUUUCUUUGAUCUGUGUCUACACCUCCCGAUGUCUUCUGAGGAGUCGGAAUGACCAUGUUUCCGGUGUUUUUUGUGAGCCUUCUUCUUCCUGUGCUUCCUGUCAAUGUCACUGUCAUCAGAAUCACUGUCAUAAUCAGAUGCUGAAUCCAUCUUCCUCUUGUGCUUUAUGGCCUUCAGCUUCCUCUCCUUUGUUUCCACAUCAGCUUUUGCCUUGGCUGCAGAUUCUAGCUUCUGUUCCCAUUUUAGGGGGGCUUCUCUCUUCUCCAGCAUUCUCUUUUUCUUCUCUUCAACCAACUGCAAAAACUUCUUGCUGUCCAUUUAAUAUUAUAAAAGUCCAACUUGACACCUGCAUAAUGGUGAGAUGAUGCAAGGAAGUGCAUCUCACAAAAGAGAAAAAUCAAUGUUAGUUCUUCAUGCAUCCAAUGAUUCGUAAGUUCCAAUACAUACAUACAUACAUAUAUAUAAACUAUAAAGAAAAACUACAGAGACACGCCAAGCAUAACAAUUAUACCAAAUUGUCAAUCGAAUAUUUAUUCAAUCUUACAGAAUUAGAAUUGCUCAAUUUUGUUUGAUUUAACCAAAAAGAAUAUAAAUCAAUACUAUUACAUUCCAAUUCCUUCCCGGUACUCCGAAGCAAAAUCCUAAAUUGGAUCCAAAAUUGAUGGGUUGAUGUGAGCUUAUUCAUGCGGUUAUGCACUCCUCAAAUAGGAAUCGAUUUUCUUAGCUCUUUCUAUCUCACAUACUCCCUUUCUCAUGAAGCAAAAACAUAUUCUUUGGUGGCAGUGGCACUCCCAAAAACUGGAUUUCAUCCACAACAAAUAGAGAUAGGUGGGCACUCAAACAUAAGUAAACAUCAACAUAGAAAGAAGAGAUCAAUUUGCUACAGAGAUAGUUGAGCCUAUCUAAUCGACUCAGAAGAAGAAAGAGCAACCGCACCAACAUCUGUUGAAGGAAAUCAAUACACAAACAUAUGCAUACAUAUAUAAUGUAUCUAUUACAUAGAAAAGUCCGGGUAGGCGGUUUCUGACACCAAAGAUGUUAAUAGGAAAAUUAACAGCGGUUGAUGAUAUCUUCAAUCCUAGUUACUGCAGACUAACUAAUGGAUACAAGGUAUCACAUGUGGCAAUAUCACACGAGAAUCUGAAACCAGUCACCUCCAAAGCACACGAAAAACAAGGCAACAUCACAUAUAGUCUGCCAAAAGUCAUUUACCAACCGAGUAAAUGGACAGAUCUUCAAUGCCAAGAUGUGGAAAAAUGACAAUUUGCAGUGGAAAAUGAGUGUAGGAGAGGAGUUAGGUGGGAGGGGUAAGAUAAAGGAAGACUCAAUUGCUCAAAACUCAGCAUUUUCCACCAAGUAUAAUGUAAUGCCCGCUAGAUCAUAUAACCAAAAAGAUUUUAAGUCUGGAAUGCCAGGAGUAUUGGAAGCCGGAGAAGAGUGUAGAUUGACCACCAAAAUAUGGUGAUGCCUACAAUUCUAAGGGUUGGACAAUCAAAUGACAUGAACUUACUGCCUAGCAUCUAACACAGUAAGGAACUGGACCAGCUGUUUUAGCCCUUCCCACACAUGUGUGACCAUGUGAAUGUUUGUCCCCAACUCCUAAAAAACAAAAAUUUAUGUUGACAUUAACAAAAUUAGGUGAAAAGUUCUAUGUUUAAUCCAGGUGAUGAGAACCCUCCCUCUUUAAUUAAAAAAAAUAUGGCAGCACUGGUUCUUCUGCUUCUAGUUCUCCUAAGCUACUCUAGAGCAUAUUCAUGGUUCUAAAAUGCAGUGCAUAUGGCUGCAUAUGUAGCCGCAUAUGCAGAUAUCAUCCCUUGACCAAACCAAAUUACCUAUACACAGUUACCAUUUCCAGCCAUAGCCAUGAAGGCCAAAAAAGGCAGUCCACCUAGCAUUGUGCUACUAAAUAUGAGUUGGACUGGAUGUUGAUAUUAAUAAUGUUUAUUACUUGUGCUAUCAUGACAAACUAUUACGUGUAAAGUAGUAAACACCAAUUGUUAGCUGUUAUUGUCAUUAAACAUUGACAUUAUUUAUCAAUAUUAAUAAAGUUACCAAUAUUAAUAAAGUUAACAUUAAUAUUUAUCAAUUGUUAGCUAUUAUUGUCAUUAAACAUUGCUAUUAUUUAGCUAUAAAGUGGUAAAUCAGCAGUCAUUUUGUUGUAUCCAAUAUUAAUUUAUAUUGAAAAAAAAAAACUAAUCAUAUAUCCACCUGCAUAUGUGCUACAUGGUCCCUUGACCGCCCACAAACUGUGCCCAUCUAUUAAAGCACUUGGAAUGUUUUCUAAAGAAAUUUUCCUUAAGUUUAAUGCACAGGUGAGCUUUUUGCAACAUUUCAAUUGUAUAGACAAGCAGAAUGGAGAAAUUAAAAUAAAGUGGUUCAGAAAUAAUCCUACAUAUUAAUCUCAGCUUUCUUUUAAGUGGCAGAUUUGUUGAUUUCCUUGGUCCCUGUACAUGUCACUUACCAAUGUUCAGGCUCAGUUCUUGUAGUCAAGGUUGAUUUUUAUGUAUAAGAUAAUUCUGCAUAUCCUAUAGAAUAAACAUGUUGUAUGAUGCUUCUGUAAAGGUUGGUACUCUCCCAUGAAAACUCUCGAUCACUAAGAAUUAAUGUGGUUGGAGUCCAUUGUGUUCAACUUGUCAAUAAUAAUGAUGGGUUUGUUUGGAUCAUUAUAAUAUAAAAAAGAAAAUACAACCAAAAGAUUGCAAUGUUAAGAAUGAAAAACAAGAGGAAGAACCACGUGAUCAACAUUCUUACCUUAUGCAAAGGCUUCGGGAAAACAGGCUCAAACACCUUAAAUCAACAAGAAGGAAUCUUAUCUCCUUUCCAAUUGGAAGCUGAGAAAGGAAAAGAAAAUUUGAAGUCAAUAAUCACCAUGAUUAAAUCUAAAAUGAUAUUUUUAAAAAUAUGAAUGGGAGAAAACUGAUGCAAAAAGAAAGGACAACCAAACUUCCACCACAAUAGAGGCUGAAAAGGCAGUUGCUGAGAAAAGGGGGGAAAGGAGGGGGUUGUUUUUGGCAGUUUAAAUUCAUAAUAAGGUCAUAAAAGAAAUAAGGAACUGCUUAAUUACAUCUCAUCUAUAUAUAAGUCAGACACCACAAUCACAAAAUGUAUGUUAUGAAGAAGCUAAAUCACCGUGCCUUUAACUCAAAAGGCUCAAAUCAUUACAUAAAUGCCAUUGACAAUCCAAUACGUAAAGAAUGACUAGGCAAGACAUAGUUAUACAGUGGUAGGUGCUCCGCUAUCUGUGCGACUGCAAACUACACAAGACCUGUUCCCAAAAAAAGAAGAAAAAAUUACAGAUGUUUGAGUUUAAGAUGAGGUUCACAACUUAUCAUAUCAUUGCCACUUUCCUUCUAAAGCAAGACUUCUAUAUUGUACCUCCUCAACCUACAAUCUUUAAAAAGAAGGACAUCCAUAGAAAAAAGCACCUUUCAAGGACCUCAAAAAUUCAACCUAAUCAUACCUUCAUGAGGCUUGAAUUCAUAUUAGACAGAUAAACGCCUUCUUAUUGCUGUUUAUGACUAAAUUUAAGUUAGAAUGAAUUUUGAUCCAAGUGUGAGAAUAUACUCGUACCUAUUAUUCAAUACAAUGCUGCCUGCAUUCUUGUUAUCAAAUUCUAGUCACAUCUUAGGACCCACAAGCUUCAGCCAAGGGUGCAUUGGCUCUUAUGCAUAAUCAUACAUAACUUAAGAAGCAUCAUCAAAAAGAGAGCAAGAAAUAAAAAUCAGCAUAUCUAAAUAUUAGGUGAUUCCACCUCUAUAGAAUUAACUAGAAACUAAACCCUAAACCCUAAAAACCCUAAAACCCUAAACCAAAUAGAUUCUAAAACUUUUAAAUAUAGAAAUUAAAAAAACACAGCACUUACAACAGAUCUGCUGAAAAAGAAAAAAGAAAUGCCAAUCAAAAUAUAAAAAACAUAAAACUUGAGGUUAAUUAAUUUAUAAGACAACAAACAGGAGAACAAAAUUAAAACAAGCAUGAAAACAUAAAACAGAAGGUACAAAGCCGAAAGCGCAGCUGCAUGUGCAAAUAAUGAAACAAGUUAAAUAAAAAAUACAAAACACAAAUAAAAGUACAAAAUACAGAACUAGCAAAAGACCAAUUGCAAAAUACAAUAAAAUAUGUCAAAUAAAAAAAAAAGCAAAAUCAGAAAUAUAAAAAGGCAAAUUAAGCAAAUUACAGAACGAGAAUUUAAAAAUUAAAUAAUUGUGUGUGUGUGUGCAUACAUACAUAUGUAUAUGUAAACAUGUGUGUGUAUGCGCGCGCAUGCGUGUGUGUACAUACAUUCAUAUGUAUAUGUAUGUACAUACAUACGUACAAUGAAACAAGUUAGAUGAAAAAAAAUACAAAACACAAAUAAAAGUACAAAAUACAGAACUAACAAAAGACCAAUUGCAAAAUACAAUAAAAUAUGUCGAACAAAAAAAAAUGCAAAAUCAGAAAUAUAAAAAGGCAAAUUAAGCAAAUUACACAAUGAGAAUUUAAACAUUUAAUAAUUGCGUGUAUGUGUGUGUGUGUACAUGCAUACAAAUGUAUAUGUACAUAUGUGUGUGUGUACGUGCGUGUGUACAUAUACAUACACACAUAUGUAUAUGUACGUAUGUAUGUAUACACAUGAGGGAGAGCCGUGGUGCACCAAUAAGGUUGCUUCAUUAAAACCUGCAUGCAUGCACGCAUGCAUACACACACGCACGCGAGGGAGAGCCUUGGCACAACAGUAAGGUUGCUUCAUUAAAACCUUAGUGUCACAAUUACAACAUAUAGAAACCUGCAUGCAGGGAUAAGGCUGCAUAAAUCUAACUCUCUACUAGUUCUACAUUGGCGGGAGCCUCAUGCAAUGGUCUACCCUUUUUUAUCAGAUGUAGAUGGAUAUAUAAUCAUGAAUGUGAAAAGUAUUUGUUGGUCUUUUAUUAAGCUUGCAAUUUGGAUUAACAACUUAGUCUAACUUAACCUUCAACAACAUCAAUAACGAGAUGUUUAUGGGAGGAUUUCUUUUCUGAUGCUUGCUUGGAACUUGCCAGCUCAGAAGCAGCCUUACCAAGCUUGACUAAUAGGAACCACAUUCACUCCAAAUUUUCUCCUAGAGAAAAGAUAUAAUAAAUAAGAAAAGCAACCAGCAGAAAUAACUUAAAGAACCAGUCUAGCUUUUAAACAUACUUUCAACUGAAAAGAGCGAGGAUCUUGGACUACAGUACUAUUAUAUCAAUUCCCCAAGAUCCACGAUAUAAAACAAUUACAGAUUAAUCAAAAAAUCAACUUAGAACCCUCUGUAGAGGCAAGCAUUGACAACUUAUGGACCACACCAAAAAAGACAUGUUCCAAAGAUCCCCAAGAAUUGAUGCUCAUAAUUUGCUCUAACUGUUAAUGUAUCAACAGCAUAUAUCUUGUAAGCACUAGUUGGUCGCCAGAUCAUACUGCUGGGAGAUUAGUAAAAAAAAUUAUGCUCAUACUGCUGGGAGAUUAUUAAAAAAAAUUAUGCAGUUCAUUCUGCCAGCAUGAAAAUGUCUAUAUGCUGCUGCAGUAUAAAAGCAUCACUAGUGUGAUCGUAGUCUGACCUAAGAAGUUAAUGAUGAUGCCAUAAUUUUCAGGCACUUCAGAAUAAAAUCAGGAUACACCAAAAGAAUGAAAAAUAAGGAUAGUCCUGCAGAGGAAUGUCAACAAUAAAAUGUUGGAGGUCAAACACUCUCACCGCAAACAACGAUCAGCAGGACACAAAAUUGCCACAUCAUGAUUAAAUACAAUAAACAAAAAUCACCUUAUGCCAGGACCAAAUACACCAAUUCAAAGUUGCUUAAAACCAAACAAGAAAGUUUCUUUACUCUCCACGCAUUUGAUAUGAGAGAAUGUAGAACAAAAUUUAUAAUUACAAACCAAGAAAUACAAUAAAAAGAUAGGCUUAUCAUCAAAGCAAUACUAAUUAUUGGAAAUUAAAACCAAUUAGGUGGAAUGAAACACAUUACACUACCAUAAAAAAUAUCAUCAUUCAAACUUUCACCGUCGUCCAAAAUCUGAACUGGUGAAGAUGCAAGAACCAAGAGAUCUCGCUCAGGCAACAUAGCUUUAUGAAAAAAAAACCCUUAGAAGAAACAAAAAAUUGGAAUACAGCAGAGAAAAAGGCAAUACGAUCUAAGAUUCAAGCCUAAAAGCACAUAUCCAGAGAAAAGAGGGGGAAACCCCUAAAAAUCAUGGUUCCAGUUCAAUAUGAGGAGAAGAACCAGUUGAAAUAACGACAAAACCCUAAAGAAGCCCCACGACAUCGACGCCAAAACCCUAAACCCCAAAUUCCGCCAACAAAACCCUAAAGAAGGGCAAGAUCCAGCGCAAAACAACCUAAAUUCCAGGAUCCAGAUUUCACCACAAGAAAACAAACGAAAUCAAAAAUCAAUGACAUCCAAGCAAAAAAAAACCCCUAAAAAAUGGAAAAAGAAGGAAAGAGAAAGAGGGAUCUGAGAUCUACAUGGCCCUCGAUCAAAAGAAAAAGAAUAUUACGGGGAAAAGCAAUUAAAGCCCUAAGAUCUUACCAGACGGACGAAAAAGGCAGCAGAAGACAGGAGGGGCGGAGGCGGCGAGGACGCGUCUGCAGAAAAGAAGAUAUAGCGUGCGAGAGAGGGAUCGCACGCUCGGCGAGCCCAUAUUUAUAGAGUGACGCGUAUAUACGGUGUUAGUCUGUACAUACUGUCGAGUCGUGUGGAGACUAUUAUCCACCGUUGGAUUUCUGCCGUCCAGACCGAUGGUGGGCGGAGGCGGGGGAGGGGGAGAGGAGACAUGAGGGAGGGGGCAUGAGGCAGGAGGCGGAGCAGAGGACGUGGAGGGGAAGACUGGGCGACCGCAACCAUCUCUUCUCCUCUACUGCUUCGCUUUUUAUUUCAAGAAAGAGAACGCGAAAAGGUUGGAAGGGAGCAGGGAUCGGUCGUCGCAGCCGCCAAAGGGGGAGAGGGUAGCGGCAUAGCCAGCACCGAAGAAGUAUCGGGUAUUUCUUCUUUUUAGAAAAAGAAAAAUAAUUUGUUUGGGAGAUAUAAUGUGAUACGUGUGUGGCUCUACUUUUCCUUGCUUUGUGCUACUCUUAUUUCAUUUUGGGGGUGUCCGAAUGAGAGUUCCAAGGUUCUCCGUUGGCAAAAGUUCAAGCUUCAAUAACCUUAUAUGGCUGGGAAAUUUUCCCCAAAAGCAUAAAAAACUCUUGCUAGAAAAUUGUUUUAGGGCAAAACAUUUUCCGCGUACAUAUAACAAAAUAUACUAUUUCUAUAUAUAACUGUUCUCUCAUAAUUGAUGAACAUUUUUACUCUGAUAAAUUAUUUAUCUUAUUCAAUUAUAAAAGAGGAGAUAGUUGAUGGAACGAAGCUGGCCCGGUCCUUGAGAUCCAACCUGGAUCAUUUUAAAAGAUUCGUAGGAUCAAGUCAGAUUUUAAAAUUAAAUUUAUUUUAUUUUUUAAAUUGAAUCUAAAUUUACUGAAUUUAGAUCCAAUCCAAUCCAAAUCUAAUAUAUCAUUGAACUCGAACCUGUUUCAGCUUUUAAAUUAUGAUUUAAGAUUUAUAUAAAUAAUUUUUUUAACAUAAAGAUAGAUUUAAAAUUAUUUUUAAAUCUUAAUUUAUUUUGAAAAUAAUAUUAUUUAUUAUUUAUUUUUUAUAGUUAAUAAUAUUUGAUUGUAUGUUAAUUAAAACAUAAUCGGCCAUAUUCGGCUCAAAUCCGAUUUGGACUCGAAUUUUUCGAGUUGAAACCAAAUUAUUCAUUGGUCCGAUCCGAUCUCAAUGACCUGUUAGAUUGAAAAAUUUGAUCAUGUGUCCGUCCAAUUAGAUUCUCUAUUGAAUUCGAUCUAGAUCUAAUAUUGGAUCAGGAUCAUCCAUAAUCUGAUCCGCCCAAUUCAUUUGCACCCCUAUCAAUCAUUGAUUACCUCGUAUAAAUAAUAUUCAAGGAGUAUCUCACCGUGAUCCAUUGCAUGGAAAAAUGUUUGGGAGCACCCAUUUUGCUAGCAGGUUCUAGUUAUUUUUAUGAAUUAUUUGAGCUGUCCAAUGCAUGAUAUGUACUGAAGCAUGUAUUUAUGGUUAUAAUCCUAUAAAAUUUCUAAUAUGGAUUCGGAAGUUGAAUAUGAUACAGGAUGUGCUUCAAAAUGAUCUUCCUAGCCGAGCGUUAGCUACCUGAUAAUACCCCUGUGCCUCCUAGCAGGGUAUGAGGUUCUGAAUGAUGUUAUCCCAGAAGAUUUUGGCUCCCCCAUAAUCUCCAAUAAAUGACUUUGUUAUGGAAGGAAGAUGCAAUUGUACAUUGUGAUAGACAUUUAGAGUCAAAAUUCAAAUCCCCAAAAUUAAAGUUAUAUCCAAAUUUGAUAAAAAUAUUGAAAAAGAGAUAUUAAAAUUGAAAAUCAAGAUUCGACGAUGAUUAUAAUUAUCAUAAUCAUUAAUAAUAAUGACGACGACGACGACGACGACGACGACGAUAUAUUCAUAAUAGAACCUCAUUUACACAACACUUUUUUUACCAAAAAAAAAAAGCAUAAAUACACAGUAGCACAUACCACUACAGUUGCAUUCCAGGUUUCAUAUGGAUCUCUAAAUAAUGAGGUACAAUUUCUAAAUAUAUGAUUUAAUCUUGUAUAUUAGAUAUUAUGUUCAUAUUUGGAAACCCAAGCUCGUCUGCUAGUAGUCCGAGCAGAGGAUUAACAGUAUCAGCACAAUCAUACAUCAGCAUGAGAUUAAUACAUCAACACAGUUUAAAGUAUAGUUGGCGAGAAGAAGAUCAGAAAUAAAUAAGCUUCACUAGUUCAACAUAGCUAGCAUAGACGUAAUUAAUUAUUCAAAAUGAUGAGACCUGCACGUAGAACGUCAAUGGACGGUUUAAUAUUAUUAGCAAGGUGAGGUCUACUAAAAAGAGAUGUCAAACUGUAAUAAUCAUUUGUUCGCUAAUAUAAGACUACGAAAGAUGCCUGAUAGCAUUCGUUNNNNNNNNNNNNNNNNNNNNCAUGUAGAACGUCAGAAAAGCAGCUCCCGUAAUGUUAAUUACAGUGUACAGGUGAGUAAUGCAUGAAAGGAUAAAAUAAAAGGAAGCUUGUAGCAGGAAUCAAGAGAGUAUCUGAUAGUUUGCCAAUAUACUGAUUACCGAACAAUCAUAAACUGAAGUACUCGGAAAUAACCUAAUGAAAGUGACAAAAAACUAAAAUAUAAAAUGUAGAGCAACAAGGAAUUGAGAAAAGGUAACUACAAUAUGAUUGUAAUGAACUGAACUUAUACCAAUCAACAACAUAGAUUACAGAAUACAAACACGAUAAAAGGAGACCAAACUCAACACCCAGAUUGUCCGAAGUUAAAACAAACAGCUAAUAAGUAUAAAAACCAAUUUAACAGAACUUCUAAGUGGUGCAAGUUUCUUGUGUCUUGCUAUGUGCUUUCCUACUGGCAAGUAAAUUUUUUUAAGGAAAACAGGCAAGUCUAAUUUUAGAAGCCAGAAAUCAAUGUCAAAGAAAAGAUAAGAGUGGACCAAGCAAAUAUGCAUUCCAUUAACCACCAAAAAGAAAGAGAAUUCCAUCAAUGAGAUAAUCGUGUGAUGCUUCUAAAGAUGGUCAUAUAAAAUAACAUUCUUAUCUAACAACAAUGUAAAUAUGAUAUACAAACAUGCACACACAAAAGCAUCUCUGUAGACGUCCCAUAAAAACAAAAUCCGAAAUCGCAUUAUGCUAAGGGAUUGUAUAAGCUGAUAAAAUAUGUAAGUCCAGACAAUUACUUUUCUAUCCUAAUGUGAACAAAUGCUGAAAAUACAUACCGUAUUGGAUAUCAUACUACCUUUGGAGUAUCGCAUGGCUACUUUGUCUGUUCCGUCUAUUUUAUGAUAUUUGAUAUGAUGAUGCGCCCAAAAUUUACUUGUUUAGAAUGCUAGAUAGCAGUUUUCUUGGGUCAAUAAAGUGGUACAAGUUCAUGAAGGAAUGAGUUCUACACAUCUCAUUUUAGGAGUAAUUACUCUGGUAUGCUUAAAACAUCAUUCUAGAAAUCAUAUUAAUGCAAAGGCCUGCCUUACCAAUGGCUUUGAACGGUCACCUGGACCUAAAGCUAAUUGGUGAUUCCCGGCAUCAAAAUCUACAUGGUCUUUUAUGACAACUCUAGAUCAAUGUGUGGUAAAAAACCUCAUAUUUUUAUUGAUCCAUAAUCAUGAAAAAAGUUGUGAAUAGUGGUUUGCAAUUUCAUUGGUAAAAUUUGCUUUUAUUGCUAUCAAAUAUUUUCAUACAUAAAUGGUCUUUAUCAUGACUUUUUGUUUAACCAGAUCAUGAAUCCAUUGUUUGCCUAUUUAGAUUAUUCGUAUUAAGUUUCCACUUCUGCUUAUGCCCCUUUCCCCAAUGUUAUUAUUUUUCUUGAAGCAAAAUUCGAGUAUAGGAGUCCUAAUAAAUGAGUAAAGUGCUGAUCAAGAUUUUGGCUAAUUUGUUGAAGUGAUGGUUCACUUGCGUGAAGGACAUAGACUGUUAGUAUGAGACUGACUUUCAUAAGAACUAUGGGUUGACUGUCUAUUCAUUAGAUUUAUUUUAGUUUUUGAUAAUUUUUCUUCUGUUUAUUUAUUUGUGAUAAUUGUUAGUUCUUAUAACAUGAGUAUUAAGUUGGCCUGCAUUAUUUAAAAUCAAAUAAUUUCAGCCAUUUUAAAAGAGAGGGUGCCUUUCAACAAUGUUAGGAAAGAUAUGCAAAAAGUUUUCAAAGUAUAUCUUAUAAGGUUAUAAAUCCAGCCACUUAGCUAGUUAAAAAGAAAAGCCAAGUAACUUCUACUUAUUAUAUGCGAAAAGAAAGGGCUCAGUUCGAAUGAGUAUUGCACACUUCCCUUUGGAUUUUUUUCCUCCUUUUUCAAUUGUUUAUAACUAGAGUCAGGCACAUGCAAUGCAUGUAAAAAUAUAUAUAUAUAUAUAUAUAAAAAAGGGAUGUCCUAAAGAAACUGGAGGCGGGGAGUUAUAUUCGUUGGGAAGGAUAACUUUGAAAUAUUAGCAAAAAUGGAGUUCCUAAAAAGUCUAGUGUCUGUGGCAUAGAUAUUUUACAUACACAUAUACAUAUGUAUAUAUCCAUUUUUACACCCACAAGAUGCGCAUAGAGACUAUAAAAUUUUUGUACCCACUUUAUACGCAGGUUAGAGACCUGCCAAAACUUAUCAUUUUUGGUUUCUAGGUUUUUGUCAGUUCUUUGGAUCAUUAGUAGUGCGGAACUCCAAUAUGAAGAGUCCAUUAUUGAUUUUGGAUCAUUAAUUUAUUGAUUUAACAUGUGAUGUAUACAUGCAUGUAUGUAGCUGAGGUCAAGAUGGAACAAAAAGAGAUCUGCACAAACUGAAGUGUGUUAGGGGCAGUUUAGGUAUCAAAGAAAGCAGAGUCAAUUUUUUUUUGGGGGGCGGUGUUGUACCUCCCAAAGCUUGCAUUAAAUAUAAAGAAGAAUUUCUGAAGGAGUUUAAAAAGCUGCCUAAGCACUGCAUAGGUGUUUACGAAUAGUUGGGUGUCACAUAAUAAGUGGCAAUAUCAAAUAUCUCCUGGGUGUUGUUUGUCAUGUCUUGAGUAUUGUUUUCCAGCCAUCACAAGGAUAGAAAAAGCCUGCCUUAUUGAUGGGAUUUUUGGUUUCUAGGUGUUCUUAGUGGCAUAGGUCACAACCAAUAGUGUGGAUCUCUAGUUUGGAGAGUCCAUUAUUGGUUUUGCAUCAUUGAUUUAUUGAUUUAACAUUUAGUGCAUGCAUGCAUGUAGUUGAGGUCAAGAAGAAACAGAA